AUCUUCAGGGCAGGGUGAAAUUCCCGACCGGCGGUAAAGUCCGCGAGCGCAGCUGCGCAGGAUUCGGUGCAAUUCCGGAACCGACAGUAUAGUCUGGAUGGAAGAAGAUG
This 110-nucleotide non-coding RNA is filed under the name uncultured Butyricicoccus sp. RNAcentral's name for it is "FMN riboswitch (RFN element)". It matches the Rfam family "FMN riboswitch aptamer (RFN element)". From Rfam's summary of the family: The RFN element is a highly conserved domain that is found frequently in the 5'-untranslated regions of prokaryotic mRNAs that encode for flavin mononucleotide (FMN) biosynthesis and transport proteins. This element is a metabolite-dependent riboswitch that directly binds FMN in the absence of proteins. The record is from RNAcentral. Lineage: Bacteria; Bacillati; Bacillota; Clostridia; Eubacteriales; Butyricicoccaceae.